CCAAAUUUAGGUGUACAAAUAAAUUGUUCUUGGGACAGUACAGCGGUGUAUGAACAAAAAUAUUCUACAAAUACAGAUGUAUCUACUCCAAGUACGAGUAUAAAUAAGGCAGUAGUGGUAACAUCGGAAACAGCUAGUACUUCAAAUGUACCUGGACCUGCGGUAUAUGAACAAGAAUAUUCUUCAAAUACAGAUACAACUACUCCAAGUACAACAGCUAGGACUGUAGUGGUAGCACCAGAGCCGGCAAGUAGGAAUGUAACUGAACCCACAACAUUAUGCCUGAAAAAAAGAAAAUUGGUUCAUCUGGACUUAGAUGUGAUGAACGCGAGCUCCGUGUAAAAAAAAUUAAGGAGAGUAUAUUACAACAGCGGGAGCUUCAUACACAACAUAUGAUAACGGCAAAAAUGGAGUACUUGUUGGCUGUCCUUAAGGUGAAACACCAAUUAAACGAAAUCGGGGAAGAGCUUAACGUAAAGGAAACAAACUUUGAUACC
Anoplophora glabripennis (Asian longhorned beetle) is the source of this 497-nucleotide long non-coding RNA. RefSeq lists it as uncharacterized. Lineage: Eukaryota; Metazoa; Arthropoda; Insecta; Coleoptera; Cerambycidae. The record is from RefSeq and is a predicted model, not a curated record. The transcript is spliced from 3 exons.